AACUUUCCGGUGCUUACCUCUAACUGAUAAAACUAGCUCCAACCCACCACCCUCCACUGACUUCCUUCGCACUCAGCCCACUCGCACCCGGGUGAAUAAACAGCCUUUGUUGCUCACACUUAGCCUGUUCAAGUUGUCUCUUCAAUUAGAUGCUCGCAUAACAUUUGGUGCCGAAAGCCCGGGAUAGGGGAACUCCUCCGGCAGACCUCUCCUCUAUCCUCCCGGUACCCACGUUCUCCCAUGCAAGAGACUUCCCUCGCCCUCAGGACCUCAGACCAGCUCCGCGAGCACUCCGGCCUCUGUCUAUGGAUAUGGUGUUCAAUAAUAGGGAAGAGACUGCCCGGCGACAGCGCAUUUCAGAACUACAGAUGCUUGCCUCCGCCAUAAGACAAACCCCAGCUGCACUGCCUACCUGCAAGAACUUCAAGGCAUCUAAACGCAACAUCCAACAGCCCCUCUGGGACUUUGCUUCAAGCGAUGAAAACCUGGCCACUGGGCCAAGGAAUGCCUGCAGCCUGGGAUUCCUCCUAAGCCAUGCCCCGCCUGUGCGGGCCCUCACUGGAAGUCUGACUGCCCGACUCUCAUCGCCACUUCCGGAGCUCCUGGAGCUCAAACCCAAAGCUCCCCACCGACUCCUUCCCAGAUCUCCUCGGCUUGGCGGCUGAAGACUGACGCUGCCCGAACGUCUCGGAGGCCCCUUAGACAAUCGCGGAUGCCGAGCUUCGGGUAACUCUUAGGGUGGAGGCAUAAAAAGACAGGAAUGUAAGGUCCUCUGAGCAGGCGGCGCCAUGGUCAAGCCAUCGUGACCCCUGUGACUCACACGUACACAUCCAGAAGGUCUCCUGGAGCCAGAAAGUCUGGGACGACAGGAAAACCACAAAAGAAGAAAAACGGCUAGUUCCUGUCUUAGCUGAUCAGCCAACCUUGUGACAUUCUAUCAUUGUAACAGGCUGUACCCUAACUGAUCAAUCAACCUCAUGACACUGUGCUCUGUAACCUUAUGAUAAUGUACCUUAUGACAUUCUUCCCCUGCCCUCAAUAAACAGCUCCGAACUAUAACUUUCCACUGCUUACCCCUAAAGUAUAAAACUAGCUCCAACCCCACCACUUCCUUUUCGGACUCAGCCCACCCGCACCCAGUGAAUAAACAACCUUGUUGCUCACACUUAGCCUGUUCAGGGUGUCUCUUCAAUUAGACGCACACAUAACAGACAGAUUAACAAGAAAAACACAUACAGAUUAAUUUAAUAUAAAUUUUUUUUUAUUAUACUUUAAGUUUUAGGGUACAUGUGCACAUUGUGCAGGUUAGUUACAUAUGUAUACAUGUGCCAUGCUGGUGCGCUGCACCCACUAACUCGUCAUCUAGCAUUAGGUAUAUCUCCCAAUGCUAUCCCUCCCCCCUCCCCCCACCCCACCACAGUCCACAGAGGGUGAUAUUCCCCUUCCUGUGUCCAUGUGAUCUCAUUGUUCAAUUCCCACCUAUGAGUGAGAAUAUGUGGUGUUUGGUUUUUUGUUCUUGCGAUAGUUUACUGAGAAUGAUGAUUUCCAAUUUCAUCCAUGUCCCUACAAAGGACAUGAACUCAUCAUUUUUGAUGGCUGCAUAGUAUUCCAUGGUGUAUAUGUGCCAUAUUUUCUUAAUCCAGUCUAUCAUUGUUGGACAUUUGGGUUGGUUCCAAGUCUUUGCUAUUGUGAACAGUGCCGCAAUAAACAUACGUGUGCAUGUGUCUUUAUAGCAG
RNAcentral lists this long non-coding RNA (1736 nucleotides) under Homo sapiens (human). Its description in RNAcentral is "endogenous retrovirus group H member 3". Lineage: Eukaryota; Metazoa; Chordata; Mammalia; Primates; Hominidae. The record is from RNAcentral.